Molecule: ribosomal RNA, 251 nt
Filed under: uncultured bacterium
Lineage: Bacteria
Description: partial 16S ribosomal RNA
Rfam family: Bacterial small subunit ribosomal RNA
Source: RNAcentral
GACGAACCGUGCGAACGUUGUUCGGAUUCACUGGGCGUAAAGGGUGCGUAGGCGGUCGGGUAAGUCUGGCGUGAAAUCUCCAAGCCUAACUUGGAACUGCGUUGGAUACUAUCCGGCUCGAGGAAUGGAGGGGAGACUGGAAUACUUGGUGUAGCAGUGAAAUGCGUAGAUAUCAAGUGGAACACCAGUGGCGAAGGCGAGUCUCUGGACAUUUCCUGACGCUGAGGCACGAAAGCCAGGGAGCAAACGGG